AUGCUGGUGGUGUUCUUUUUAUGGUUUCAGCUUGUGUGGUGGCACUCACAUGUACCAAAUUGCACGUUUUCUGUGAUGUGGUAUAACACCAUGGUGAAGAAACCAUUCAGACUCCACAGACAAAAUCAUUCGGACAUGGCAGUGAACCAUUCAUUUGUUACAUGGAGUGCGGUCGACAAAUUAGUUCUUUCUAUAGUCAUCAAGGGCAACAUGAAUAACUCCAUUUUGGAACAUAAGGCUGGACAUAAUUUAAGGAAUGAAUCCACUUCCCUCAAGAAGGACAACGACCACGAGGUAUAUAUACCAUAUGUGUUGAUACCAUUUUAUUACAUUUACGAGUUCUUGUUUAUGUGUAAUUAUCGUAAAACUAGCUGGAUCAAUUUAGUCUUGUUUUGA
This 396-nucleotide ribosomal RNA is filed under the name Triticum aestivum (bread wheat). RNAcentral's name for it is "partial small subunit ribosomal RNA". The record is from RNAcentral. Lineage: Eukaryota; Viridiplantae; Streptophyta; Magnoliopsida; Poales; Poaceae.